This is a long non-coding RNA of Penaeus monodon (black tiger shrimp), 204 nucleotides long. RefSeq lists it as uncharacterized. NCBI's taxonomy places the organism in Eukaryota, Metazoa, Arthropoda, Malacostraca, Decapoda, Penaeidae. The record is from RefSeq and is a predicted model, not a curated record. The transcript has 2 exons.
GGCGUGACCCUGCUUUCUCUCGUUGCAGUGUAGCGUGGCGGCAGAGCGGGCGCGCGGGGGACCCUCCUCUCCACCAACAACACUCCACUCCAGGCUGAGGAUGAGAUAGCGAGAGGAGCCGUCAUGGUGCUGGUCAAGGAGUACAGGAUACCCCUCCCGCUCACAGUGGAAGAGUAUAGGAUCGCCCAGCUCUUCAUGAUCGCA